RNAcentral lists this ribosomal RNA (427 nucleotides) under uncultured bacterium. RNAcentral describes it as "bacterial SSU rRNA". It matches the Rfam family "Bacterial small subunit ribosomal RNA", at positions 355 to 774 of the family's 1533-position model. The record is from RNAcentral.
UGGGGAAUUUUGGACAAUGGGCGCAAGCCUGAUCCAGCAAUGCCGCGUGCAGGAUGAAGGCCUUCGGGUUGUAAACUGCUUUUGUACGGAACGAAAAGCUUCUGGUUAAUACCUGGGAGUCAUGACGGUACCGUAAGAAUAAGCACCGGCUAACUACGUGCCAGCAGCCGCGGUAAUACGUAGGGUGCGAGCGUUAAUCGGAAUUACUGGGUGUAAAGCGUGCGCAGGCGGUUAUGUAAGACAGAGGUGAAAUCCCCGGGCUCAACCUGGGAACUGCCUUUGUGACUGCAUGGCUAGAGUGCGGCAGAGGGGGAUGGAAUUCCGCGUGUAGCAGUGAAAUGCGUAGAUAUGCGGAGGAACACCGGUGGCGAAGGCAAUCCCCUGGGCCUGCACUGACGCUCGUGCACGAAAGCGUGGGGAGCAAACA